GAUUCUCCAACAAUUACAGUCCCAACACAUCAACCUUGUGGAGGCUUACUUCUCAAUCUGAAAGGAACGUUUUCUAGCCCACCAUCCCUGGAAAACUAUACACACCAUGUGCAAUGUUUCUGGGAGAUUGAAGUGCUAAAGACACAACACAUAAUGAUUACCCUGAAUGUCUCUGACCCUGAACACUCCCUUAGCUGUAUUUCGAGUUAUGUUGACAUCUUUGAUGGAUACCAGAACUCAUCUGUACCGCUGGGGCGUUUCUGUGAUGCUUUCAAUGCAACAUUUUUGUCUUCUUCCAACAAGAUGAAAAUACAAUUUGUUACUGACGCAUCUGCCUCCAAAAAUGGAUUCCAGGCUUCUUAUUUUGCUCUUCCACAGGAUAAUAAUGACACAGGCAAGCAAAAAAAGAAAGAUGUUUUGUCUCCACACCCCUACUCUUUCUCUUGCUCACCAAUCUCAGGUUGCCUAAGUGCCAGAGGAAAACAAAACCAAAUCAUCUCUUUAAUAAUUCGUGUUCAUAUCUACUCUUACUAUCUUUGUGCAGCAAAAUGUUAUUCAAUCUAAGCCUCAGUCCAAAUUCUUGACAUUGUGUAUUUUCUUUUUUCUCAGUUUAGGAGAUUUGGGUGGUAUGUGAGGAAAGAAAGAGA
Monodelphis domestica (gray short-tailed opossum) is the source of this 647-nucleotide non-coding RNA. Lineage: Eukaryota; Metazoa; Chordata; Mammalia; Didelphimorphia; Didelphidae. The record is from RefSeq and is a predicted model, not a curated record.